Molecule: ribosomal RNA, 801 nt
Filed under: uncultured bacterium
Lineage: Bacteria
Description: bacterial SSU rRNA
Rfam family: Bacterial small subunit ribosomal RNA
Source: RNAcentral
GAACCCUUCGGGGUGAGCGGCGGACGGGUGAGUAACGCGUGGGUAACCUGCCCUGUACACACGGAUAACAUACCGAAAGGUAUGCUAAUACGAGAUAACAUACUUUUAUCGCAUGGUAGAAGUAUCAAAGCUUUUGCGGUACAGGAUGGACCCGCGUCUGAUUAGCUAGUUGGUAAGGUAACGGCUUACCAAGGCGACGAUCAGUAGCCGACCUGAGAGGGUGAUCGGCCACAUUGGAACUGAGACACGGUCCAAACUCCUACGGGAGGCAGCAGUGGGGAAUAUUGCACAAUGGGCGAAAGCCUGAUGCAGCAACGCCGCGUGAGCGAUGAAGGCCUUCGGGUCGUAAAGCUCUGUCCUCAAGGAAGAUAAUGACGGUACUUGAGGAGGAAGCCCCGGCUAACUACGUGCCAGCAGCCGCGGUAAUACGUAGGGGGCUAGCGUUAUCCGGAAUUACUGGGCGUAAAGGGUGCGUAGGUGGUUUCUUAAGUCAGAGGUGAAAGGCUACGGCUCAACCGUAGUAAGCCUUUGAAACUGGGAAACUUGAGUGCAGGAGAGGAGAGUGGAAUUCCUAGUGUAGCGGUGAAAUGCGUAGAUAUUAGGAGGAACACCAGUUGCGAAGGCGGCUCUCUGGACUGUAACUGACACUGAGGCACGAAAGCGUGGGGAGCAAACAGGAUUAGAUACCCUGGUAGUCCACGCCGUAAACGAUGAGUACUAGCUGUCGGAGGUUACCCCCUUCGGUGGCGCAGCUAACGCAUUAAGUAUCCCGCCUGGGGAGUACGGUCGCAAGGCUGAAAC